Molecule: ribosomal RNA, 253 nt
Filed under: uncultured bacterium
Lineage: Bacteria
Description: partial 16S ribosomal RNA
Rfam family: Bacterial small subunit ribosomal RNA
Source: RNAcentral
CACGAACCGGACGAACGUUAUUCGGAAUCACUGGGCUUAAAGGGUGCGUAGGCGGCCUGACAAGUUGGGUGUGAAAUCCCUCGGCUUAACCGAGGAAUUGCGCUCAAAACUGUUGGGCUUGAGGGAGUUAGAGGUAAGCGGAACUUAGGGUGGAGCGGUGAAAUGCGUUGAUAUCCUAAGGAACACCAGUGGCGAAAGCGGCUUACUGGAGCUCUUCUGACGCUGAGGCACGAAAGCUAGGGGAGCGAACGGG